GGGUUGUGAGGUUAAGCGACUAAGCGUACACGGUGGAUUUUUCGAGGCGAUGAAGGACGUGCUAAUUCAUGGUGAUAAGUAAGCGUCGGUGGGGUGUGAUAUGAACCGUUAUAACCUCGCGAUUUCGAAUGAAACCCAGUGUUUCGACACACUAUCAUUAACUGAAUCCAUAGGUUAAUGAGGCGAACCGGGGGAACUGAAACAUCUAAGUACCCCGAGGAAAAGAAAUCAACCGAGAUUCCCCCAGUAGCGGCGAGCGAACGGGGAGGAGCCCAGAGCCUGAAUCAGUGUGUGUGUUAGUGGAAGCGUCUGGAAAGGCGCGCGAUACAGGGUGACAGCCCCGUACACAAAAAUGCACAUGCUGUGAGCUCGAUGAGUAGGGCGGGACACGUGGUAUCCUGUCUGAAUAUGGGGGGACCAUCCUCCAAGGCUAAAUACUCUGACUGACCGAUAGUGAACCAGUACCGUGAGGGAAAGGCGAAAAGAACCCCGGCGAGGGGAGUGAAAAAGAACCUGAAACCGUGUACGUACAAGCAGUGGGAGCCUCUUUUAUGGGGUGACUGCGUACCUUUUGUAUAAUGGGUCAGCGACUUAUAUUCUGUAGCAAGGUUAACCGAAUAGGGGAGCCGAAGGGAAACCGAGUCUUAACUGGGCGUUAAGUUGCAGGGUAUAGACCCGAAACCCGGUGAUCUAGCCAUGGGCAGGUUGAAGGUUGGGUAACACUAACUGGAGGACCGAACCGACUAAUGUUGAAAAAUUAGCGGAUGACUUGUGGCUGGGGGUGAAAGGCCAAUCAAACCGGGAGAUAAAUAAGGUCUUCCCCGCUGAAAGCUAUUUAUAGGUGGUAGCGCCUCGUGAAUUCAUCUCCGGGGGUAGAGCACUGUUUCGGCAAGGGGGUCAUCCCGACUUACCAACCCGAUGCAAACUGCGAAUACCGGAGAAUGUUAUCACGGGAGACACACGGCGGGUGCUAACGUCCGUCGUGAAGAGGGAAACAACCCAGACCGCCAGCUAAGGUCCCAAAGUCAUGGUUAAGUGGGAAACGAUGUGGGAAGGCCCAGACAGCCAGGAUGUUGGCUUAGAAGCAGCCAUCAUUUAAAGAAAGCGUAAUAGCUCACUGGUCGAGUCGGCCUGCGCGGAAGAUGUAACGGGGCUAAACCAUGCACCGAAGCUGCGGCAGCGACGCUUAUGCGUUGUUGGGUAGGGGAGCGUUCUGUAAGCCCGUACUGUGAGGUACAGGUAAUUGUAGCGCGUGCGAAUGCUGACAUAAGUAACGAUAAAGCGGGUGAAAAGCCCGCUCGCCGGAAGACCGGUCCUGUCCAACGUUAAUCGGGGCAGGGUGAGUCGACCCCUAAGGCGAGGCCGAAAGGCGUAGUCGAUGGGAAACAGGUUAAUAUUCCUGUACUUGGUGUUACUGCGAAGGGGGGACGGAGAAGGCUAUGUUGGCCGGGCGACGGUUGUCCCGGUUUAAGCGGUAGGCUGGUUUUCCGGUGCAAAUCCGAAACUAAGGCUGAAAGGGAUGACGAAAGGCACUAAUGGUGUUUAGAAGUUAAACAAAUGUCCUGCUUCCGAAAGCCCUAAGCAUCAGGGUAACAUCAAAUCGUACCUCCCCAAACCGACAGGUGGUCAGGGUAGAGAAUACCAAGGCGUUUGAGAACCGGGUGAAGGAACUAGGGCAAAAUGCAACUGAGAAGGCACGCUGAUAUGUAGGCGAAGUCCUCGCGGAUGGAGCUGAAAUCAGUCGAAGAUACCAGCUGUAAACUGUUUAUUAAAAACACAGCACCGUGCAAAACACGAAAGUGGACGUAUACGGUGUGACGCCUGCCCUGCGCCGGAAGGUUAAUUGAUGGGUUAGCGCGCGAAGCCUGAUCAAAGCCCGCAAACGGCGGUCGUAACUAUAACGGUCCCAGGCGAAAUUCCUUUGUCGGGUAAAGUCUGACCAAAAUGAAUGGCGUAAUGAUGGUUGCCACCCGAGACUCAGUGAAAUUGAACUCGCGUGAAGAUGCAGUGUACCCGCGGCAAGACGGAAAGACCCCGUGAACCUUUACUAUAGCUUGACACUGAACAUUGAGCCUUGAUGUGUAGGAUAGGUGGGAGGCUUUGAAGUGUGGACGCCAGUCUGCAUGGAGCCGACCUUGAAAUACCACCCUUUAAUGUUUGAUGUUCUAACGUUGACCCGUAAUCCGGGUUGCGGACAGUGUCUGGCGGUAGUUUGAUUAGCGGUCUCCUCCUAAAGAGUAACGGAGGAGCACGAAGGUUGGCUAACUCCUGGUCGGACAUCAGGAGGUUAGUGCAAUGGCAUAAGCCAGCUUGACUGCGAGCGUGACGGCGCGAGCAGGUGCGAAAGCAGGUCAUAGUGAUCCGGUGGUUCUGAAUGGAAGGGCCAUCGCUCAACGGAUAAAAGGUACUCCGGGGAUAACAGGCUGAUACCGCCCAAGAGUUCAUAUCGACGGCGGUGUUUGGCACCUCGAUGUCGGCUCAUCACAUCCUGGGGCUGAAGUAGGUCCCAUGGGUAUGGCUGUUCGCCAUUUAAAGUGGUACGUGAGCUGGGUUUAGAACGUCGUGAGACAGCGUUCGGUCCCCACCCGCUGUGGGCGCUGAGAACUGAGGGGGCUGUCUUGUACGAGAGGACCGGAGGGACGCAUCAUCACUGGUGUUCGUUGUCAUGCCAAAUGGUAAUCUCGCCCGGUGGUAGCUAAAUGCGGAGUAUGGCGGCUGUUAAUCUGCUAACGAACUUGCCCUGAGAUGAGUUCCCUGACUCCCCUGAGAGUCCUGAAGGAACGUUGAAGACGACGACGUUGAUAGGCCGGGUGUGUAAGCGCAGCGAUGCGUUGAGCUAACCGGUACUAAUGAACCGUGAGGCUUAACCUUACAACGCCGAAG
RNAcentral lists this ribosomal RNA (2883 nucleotides) under Escherichia coli. Its description in RNAcentral is "23S ribosomal RNA". It matches the Rfam family "Bacterial large subunit ribosomal RNA". The record is from RNAcentral. Lineage: Bacteria; Pseudomonadati; Pseudomonadota; Gammaproteobacteria; Enterobacterales; Enterobacteriaceae.